GGUUCGAUUAUGGCUCAGAUUGAACGCUGGCGGGAUGCUUUACACAUGCAAGUCGAACGGCAGCACGGACUUCGGUCUGGUGGCGAGUGGCGAACGGGUGAGUAAUGUAUCGGAACGUGCCUAGUAGCGGGGGAUAACUACGCGAAAGCGUAGCUAAUACCGCAUACGCCCUUCGGGGGAAAGCGAGGCCUUCGGGCCUCACUAUUGGAAACGGCCGAUAUCGGAUUAGCUAGUUGGUGGGGUAACGGCUCACCAAGGCGACGAUCCGUAGCUGGUUUACCGAGAGGACGACCAGCCACACUGGGACUGAGACACGGCCCAGACUCCUACGGGAGGCAGCAGUGGGGAAUUUUGGACAAUGGGGAAACCCUGAUCCAGCCAUCCCGCGUGUGCGAUGAAGGCCUUCGGGUUGUAAGCACUUUUGGCAGGAAAGAAGCAGCUGCAGGAUAAUACCCCGUGCAACUGACGUACAGAAUAAGCACCGGCUAACUACGUGCCAGCAGCCGCGGUAAUACGUAGGGUGCAAGCGUUAAUCGGAAUUACUAGGCGUAAAGCGUGCGCAGGCGGUUCGGAAAGAAAGAUGUGAAAUCCCAGAGCUUAACUUUGGAACUGCAUUUUAACUACCGAGCUAGAGUGUGUCAGAGGGAGGUGGAAUUCCGCGUGUAGCAGUGAAAUGCGUAGAUAUGCGGAGAAGACACCGAUGGCGAAGAGCAGCCUCCUGGGAUAACACUGACGCUCAUGCACAGCGUGGGAGCAAACAGGAUUAGAUACCCUGGUAGUCCACGCCUAAACGAUGUCAACUAGCUGUUGGGGCCUUCGGGCCUUGGUAGCGCAAUAACGCGUGAAGUUAAGCCGCCUGGGAAGUACGGUCGCAAGAUUAAAACUCAAAGGAAUUGACGGGGACCCGCACAAGCGGUGGAUGAUGUGGAUUAAUUCGAUGCAACGCGAAAAACCUUACCUACCCUUGACAUGUCUGGAAUCCCGAAGAGAUUUGGGAGUGCUCGCAAGAGAACCGGAACACAGGUGCUGCAUGGCUGUCGUCAGCUCGUGUCGUGAGAUGUUGGGUUAAGUCCCGCAACAGGCGCAACCCUUGUCAUUAGUUGCUACGAAAGGGCACUCUAAUGAGACUGCCGGUGACGAAACCGGAGGAAGGUGGGGAUGACGUCAAAGUCCUCGCGGCCCAUAUGGGUAGGGCUUCACACGUCAUACAAUGGUCGAGACAGAGGGUCGCCAACCCGCGAGGGGAGCCAAUCCCAGAAGCCGUCGUAGUCCGGAUCACUGAUCUGCAACUCGACUGCGUGAAGUCGGAAUCGCUGGUAAUCGCGGAUCAGCAUGUCGCGGUGAAUACGUUCGGGUCUUGUACACACCGCCCGUCACACCAUGGGAGUGGGUUUUACCAGAAGUGAUCAGCCUAACCGUAGGAAGGGGCGAUUACCACGGUAGGAUUCAUGACUGGGGUGAAGUCGUAACAGAGUAA
RNAcentral lists this ribosomal RNA (1477 nucleotides) under uncultured Bordetella sp. RNAcentral describes it as "partial 16S-23S ribosomal RNA intergenic spacer". It matches the Rfam family "Bacterial small subunit ribosomal RNA". The record is from RNAcentral. Lineage: Bacteria; Pseudomonadati; Pseudomonadota; Betaproteobacteria; Burkholderiales; Alcaligenaceae.